UACCUGGUUGAUCCUGCCAGUAUGAUACGCUUCUCUUAAUGAUUUAGCCAUGCAUGUCUAAGUAUCGUGAUUAUAGUGCAAAACUGCGAAUGGCUCAUUAUAACAGUUGUAAUUUGUUUGAUUUAAAUUUUAAAUGGAUAUCCCUGGAAAACCCAGGGCUAAUACAUGCCUUAGCGGACACUCUCCGCGCUUUGAGAUCCAUACAAACACGAGUAUGUGAAUGUUUCUCACCAAGUAAAUCUUUUCAGAUAAAUCAAAGAAGCUUCUGACCCAUCAGCUUUGAUGGUAGUGUAUUGGACUACCAUGGCUUCUACGGGUGACGAGGAAUUAGGGUUCGAUUUCGGAGAGGGAGCUUGAGAAAUGGCUACCACAUCUAAGGGAGGCAGCAGGCGCGCAAAUUACCCAAUCCUGACCAAGGGAGGUAGAGACGAGCAGUAGCAAUGAGGAGCUUAAAUGUUUCUCAAUUGGAAUGGGUGUGUGUUAAAUCUUCACACGAGUAACCAUUGGAGGGAAAGUCUGGUGCCAGCAGCCGCGGUAAUUCCAGCUCCAAUAGC
Molecule: ribosomal RNA, 554 nt
Filed under: uncultured marine eukaryote
Lineage: Eukaryota
Description: bacterial SSU rRNA
Rfam family: Eukaryotic small subunit ribosomal RNA
Source: RNAcentral